RNAcentral lists this transfer RNA (77 nucleotides) under Opitutia bacterium UBA7438. RNAcentral's name for it is "Opitutae bacterium UBA7438 tRNA-Met(cat)". It matches the Rfam family "tRNA". From Rfam's summary of the family: Transfer RNA (tRNA) molecules are approximately 80 nucleotides in length. Their secondary structure includes four short double-helical elements and three loops (D, anti-codon, and T loops). Further hydrogen bonds mediate the characteristic L-shaped molecular structure. tRNAs have two regions of fundamental functional importance: the anti-codon, which is responsible for specific mRNA codon recognition, and the 3' end, to which the tRNAs corresponding amino acid is attached (by aminoacyl-tRNA synthetases). tRNAs cope with the degeneracy of the genetic code in two manners: having more than one tRNA (with a specific anti-codon) for a particular amino acid; and 'wobble' base-pairing, i.e. permitting non-standard base-pairing at the 3rd anti-codon position. The record is from RNAcentral. RNAcentral also lists the same sequence under 1 other name. Lineage: Bacteria; Pseudomonadati; Verrucomicrobiota; Opitutia.
GCCAGAGUAGCUCAGCAGGUUAGAGCGCCGCACUCAUAACGCGGAGGUCGGCGGUUCAAGUCCGCCCUCUGGUACCA